Molecule: ribosomal RNA, 476 nt
Filed under: uncultured Hydrogenophaga sp.
Lineage: Bacteria; Pseudomonadati; Pseudomonadota; Betaproteobacteria; Burkholderiales; Comamonadaceae
Description: bacterial SSU rRNA
Rfam family: Bacterial small subunit ribosomal RNA
Source: RNAcentral
AUUGAACGCUGGCGGCAUGCUUUACACAUGCAAGUCGAACGGUAACAGGUUAAGCUGACGAGUGGCGAACGGGUGAGUAAUGCAUCGGAACGUGCCCGGUCGUGGGGGAUAACGCAGCGAAAGCUGCGCUAAUACCGCAUACGAUCUGAGGAUGAAAGCGGGGGACCGUAAGGCCUCGCGCGAUCGGAGCGGCCGAUGUCAGAUUAGGUAGUUGGUGGGGUAAAGGCUCACCAAGCCGACGAUCUGUAGCUGGUCUGAGAGGACGACCAGCCACACUGGGACUGAGACACGGCCCAGACUCCUACGGGAGGCAGCAGUGGGGAAUUUUGGACAAUGGGCGCAAGCCUGAUCCAGCAAUGCCGCGUGCAGGAAGAAGGCCUUCGGGUUGUAAACUGCUUUUGUACGGAGCGAAAAGGUCUUUCCUAAUACGGGAGGCUGAUGACGGUACCGUAAGAAUAAGCACCGGCUAACUACGU